AGUCGAGCGAGCAAUUUUAACGGAAUACCUUCGGGUAGGAAGAUAAAAGCGCGAGCGGCGGAUGGGUGAGUAACACGUGGGCAACCUGCCCUUUAGCUUGGGAUACCACUUGGAAACAGGUGCUAAUACCAAAUAAGAAGCAAGAGCGCAUGCUCAAGCUAUGAAAGGCGGCUUUCGAGCUGUCACUAAAGGAUGGGCCCGCGGUGCAUUAGCUAGUUGGUAAGGUAACGGCUUACCAAGGCAAUGAUGCAUAGCCGAGUUGAGAGACUGAUCGGCCACAUUGGGACUGAGACACGGCCCAAACUCCUACGGGAGGCAGCAGUAGGGAAUCUUCCACAAUGGACGCAAGUCUGAUGGAGCAACGCCGCGUGAGUGAAGAAGGUUUUCGGAUCGUAAAGCUCUGUUGUUGGUGAAGAAGGAUAAGGAUAGUAACUGAUUCUUAUUUGACGGUAAUCAACCAGAAAGUCACGGCUAACUACGUGCCAGCAGCCGCGGUAAUACGUAGGUGGCAAGCGUUGUCCGGAUUUAUUGGGCGUAAAGCGAACGCAGGCGGGAGAACAAGUCAGCUGUGAAAGCCCUCGGCUUAACCGGGGAAGUGCAGCUGAAACUGUUUUUCUUGAGUGCAGAAGAGGAGAGUGGAACUCCAUGUGUAGCGGUGGAAUGCGUAGAUAUAUGGAAGAACACCAGUGGCGAAGGCGGCUCUCUGGUCUGUAACUGACGCUGAGGUUCGAAAGCAUGGGUAGCGAACAGGAUUAGAUACCCUGGUAGUCCAUGCCGUAAACGAUGAGUGCUAAGUGUUGGGGGGUUUCCGCCUCUCAGUGCUGCAGCUAACGCAUUAAGCACUCCGCCUGGGGAGUACGACCGCAAGGUUAAAACUCAAAGGAAUUGAC
This 890-nucleotide ribosomal RNA is filed under the name uncultured bacterium. Its description in RNAcentral is "bacterial SSU rRNA". It matches the Rfam family "Bacterial small subunit ribosomal RNA", at positions 60 to 914 of the family's 1533-position model. The record is from RNAcentral.